CCUACGGGUGGCAGCAGUGGGGAAUAAUGGGCAAUGGGCGCAAGCCUGACCCAGCAACGCCGCGUGAAGGAAGAAGGCUUUCGGGUUGUAAACUUCUUUUAAGAGGGAAGAGCAGAAGACGGAACCUCGGGAAUAAGCCACGGCUAACUACGGGCCAGCAGCCGCGGUAAUACGGAGGGGGCAAGCGUUGUCCGGAUUUACUGGGUGGAAAGGGCGUGUAGCCGGGCUGAGAAGUAAGAGGUGACAUUCCGGGGCGCAACCCCGGACCUGCAUUUGAAACUGUUGGUCUUGAGUAUCGGAGAGGCAGGCGGAAUUCCUCGUGUAGCGGUGAAAUGCGUAGAUAUUAGGAGGAACCCCAGUGGCGAAGGCGGCCUGCUGGACGACAACUGACGGUGAGGCGCGACCGCGUGGGGAGCAAACAGGAUUAGAUACCCCUGUAGUC
This 442-nucleotide ribosomal RNA is filed under the name uncultured bacterium. RNAcentral describes it as "partial 16S ribosomal RNA". It matches the Rfam family "Bacterial small subunit ribosomal RNA", at positions 338 to 795 of the family's 1533-position model. The record is from RNAcentral.